Molecule: small nuclear RNA, 20 nt
Filed under: Arabidopsis thaliana (thale cress)
Lineage: Eukaryota; Viridiplantae; Streptophyta; Magnoliopsida; Brassicales; Brassicaceae
Description: snRNA_04860
Source: RNAcentral
GUUUCUCCUCCAAGAAACUU